Molecule: ribosomal RNA, 638 nt
Filed under: uncultured Actinomycetes bacterium
Lineage: Bacteria; Bacillati; Actinomycetota; Actinomycetes
Description: bacterial SSU rRNA
Rfam family: Bacterial small subunit ribosomal RNA
Source: RNAcentral
CGCGGCCUAUCAGCUUGUUGGAGAGGUAACGGCUCACCAAGGCAUCGACGGGUAGCUGGUCUGAGAGGAUGAUCAGCCACACUGGGACUGAGACACGGCCCAGACUCCUACGGGAGGCAGCAGUGGGGAAUCUUGCACAAUGGGCGAAAGCCUGAUGCAGCAACGCCGCGUGCGGGAAGAAGGCCCUAGGGUUGUAAACCGCUUUCAGUAGGGAAGAAAAUGACGGUACCUACAGAAGAAGGUGCGGCCAACUACGUGCCAGCAGCCGCGGUGACACGUAGGCACCAAGCGUUAUCCGGAUUUAUUGGGCGUAAAGAGCUCGUAGGCGGUUCGGUAAGUCGGGUGUGAAAACUCUGGGCUCAACCCAGAGAGGCCGCCCGAUACUGCUGUGACUAGAGUGCGGUAGGGGAGCGGGGAAUUCCUGGUGUAGCGGUGAAAUGCGCAGAUAUCAGGAGGAACACCAGCGGCGAAGGCGCCGCUCUGGGCCGUAACUGACGCUGAGGAGCGAAAGCAUGGGUAGCAAACAGGAUUAGAUACCCUGGUAGUCCAUGCCGUAAACGUUGGGCACUAGGUGUGGGUCUCAACCAACGAGAUCCGCGCCGUCGCUAACGCAUUAAGUGCCCCGCCUAGGAGUACGG